Small nuclear RNA from Phyllostomus hastatus (greater spear-nosed bat), 120 nucleotides. The record is from RefSeq and is a predicted model, not a curated record. NCBI's taxonomy places the organism in Eukaryota, Metazoa, Chordata, Mammalia, Chiroptera, Phyllostomidae.
CUGUUGUAUAAAAGAAGAGCAAGUAAGCACGCCCCUUGACAAGUACAGAAGAGGCUCUUGGGCCUAACAACACACAUAUGGUUAAGGCAUUGCCACCAAUGGCCUUAACCAUGUGUGGUU